GCACUGCUGAGGAGUCCCACAAGAGGACGAAAUGGCCAUCCAGUAC
Molecule: non-coding RNA, 46 nt
Filed under: Schistosoma haematobium
Lineage: Eukaryota; Metazoa; Platyhelminthes; Trematoda; Strigeidida; Schistosomatidae
Source: RNAcentral